UACGAAGGGGGCUAGCGUUGCUCGGAAUCACUGGGCGUAAAGGGCGCGUAGGCGGAUCUUUAAGUCAGGGGUGAAAGCCUGAGGCUCAACCUCAGAAUUGCCUUUGAUACUGAAGAUCUUGAGUCCGGAAGAGGUAAGUGGAGCUGCGAGUGUAGAGGUGAAAUUCGUAGAUAUUCGCAAGAACACCAGUGGCGAAGGCGGCUUACUGGUCCGGUUCUGACGCUGAGGCGCGAAAGCGUGGGGAGCAAACAGG
This 253-nucleotide ribosomal RNA is filed under the name uncultured bacterium. RNAcentral describes it as "partial 16S ribosomal RNA". It matches the Rfam family "Bacterial small subunit ribosomal RNA", at positions 524 to 776 of the family's 1533-position model. The record is from RNAcentral.